RNAcentral lists this long non-coding RNA (1410 nucleotides) under Homo sapiens (human). RNAcentral's name for it is "HSALNT0167803". Lineage: Eukaryota; Metazoa; Chordata; Mammalia; Primates; Hominidae. The record is from RNAcentral.
AAAACUAAGCUGUGCUUUCUUAAAACCCUGCAAAGUGAAGCCAGACAACUUAAACUUCAGAAGAAAAUAACAGUAGCCUAUUUACAUACAUAAGCCACUUUCAUACCUGCCUACUAACAUAUGGACUUAGGAGUUAUGUGGCCUAUAUUGAUUUUUUUAGGAUUGUUCUUUUGUCAUUGUUUUUUCUCCCUUCCUCCUCACUAUUUUCUCUUCACAGGACACAAGACUUCACAACCUGCUAAAAAUGAGCUUUUGGGACUACCCGUCUAGAAAUAAAUAGUCCUAGCCUUAAGAGAUCAGAUAAAACCUGAGACCAGAGGCUCCAAUUAUUGGUGGAAGAAUUGUGAAUAUUAUACUCUUCCUGUCUACUGUGCAUGUGUGGUUUUGAUUUCAACUGAAGAAGUGACAUUCUGACUUGGAAUUCCACCAGAUGAAGGGAAAGCAUUGUGAGAAAAUUCAGAGAAAAUCAAACCAGCGCUGGAUUCAGACACAACUGGCUGUGAAUCCUGGCUCUGCCACGUCAUAGUUGUAUAGCCCUAGAUAGAUUUACUAAAUCACUUCGAGUUACAAAUUCCUCAUCAGUAAAAUUUCAGUAAAAAUACUUACCUUGAGUGUUCUUAUGAGGAUUAGAGUUAAUAUAUGCAAAGCACCGUGCAUCAGCUCUCAAUCAAGGGUGGUAUAAAUCACUUGAUGUUUAAAGAAUCUCUGAAAGUAAAAGCUUCUGAAUGUGGAACAGAUUCAAAUAACAAGUGAAAAUAAAAGCAGCCAGCAUCAGGCCCAGCCCAACAGAGUUCUCUCUCAGUGCCAUUUCUUUGCUCCCAACGAAACAUCUGAUGUGUGCUGGGUUUUGACCCUCACUGGCCUUCAAGCUUCUGCUUCUGUACUGCCCUGAAUUACUCUUCAGCUGUGGCUUUACCUUGGCUUUGUUCCUAUGUCUCUGUUUUGGCACCUGCUUAUCACCUGGCUAUACUCUACUCUCUCCAGCUUUGGACUUCUUCAAGUGAGUGUGUUGAUGCCUGUUUCUGGCUUAUGGCAUGGUUGCCAUAUCCCUGCGUGCUGUAUUUUUCCUUAAUUCUAGUGUGCUUAUACUAAUAAGGGUUUAUACAACCAGUAUUUCUAUAAAAAUUAACUAAAGUGAAACCUUUUGUUUGCAACUUACUCAUUCUUGGUACCACUAUGAAUGUAAAUGAGCAACAGCACUGCUAUGACAGCAACAAGAGAUAAUGAAAACUAUUGAAAAAGUCAAAGACUGAAAGGAGUUUUAAAGACAGAGGCACUGGAACCAAUGCAAGACAGCAUUUUGAGCAAUUCUCUAUUUCCAAAUUUAAUGGUGAGACACAGAGGCACAGAUCUCAGGGGAAAAGAUUAUUACCUAUAAUGAAUAAUAAGAGACCGGCAUUACCACACCCU